GAGUUUGAUCAUGGCUCAGAUUGAACGCUGGCGGCAGGCUUAACACAUGCAAGUCGAGCGGAGAUGAGGUGCUUGCACCUUAUCUUAGCGGCGGACGGGUGAGUAAUGCUUAGGAAUCUGCCUAUUAGUGGGGGACAACAUUCCGAAAGGGAUGCUAAUACCGCAUACGUCCUACGGGAGAAAGCAGGGGAUCUUCGGACCUUGCGCUAAUAGAUGAGCCUAAGUCGGAUUAGCUAGUUGGUGGGGUAAAGGCCUACCAAGGCGACGAUCUGUAGCGGGUCUGAGAGGAUGAUCCGCCACACUGGGACUGAGACACGGCCCAGACUCCUACGGGAGGCAGCAGUGGGGAAUAUUGGACAAUGGGGGGAACCCUGAUCCAGCCAUGCCGCGUGUGUGAAGAAGGCCUUAUGGUUGUAAAGCACUUUAAGCGAGGAGGAGGGCUACUGAGACUAAUACUCUUGGAUAGUGGACGUUACUCGCAGAAUAAGCACCGGCUAACUCUGUGCC
This 507-nucleotide ribosomal RNA is filed under the name uncultured microorganism. RNAcentral's name for it is "bacterial SSU rRNA". It matches the Rfam family "Bacterial small subunit ribosomal RNA", at positions 9 to 509 of the family's 1533-position model. The record is from RNAcentral.